This 1053-nucleotide ribosomal RNA is filed under the name Triticum aestivum (bread wheat). RNAcentral describes it as "partial small subunit ribosomal RNA". The record is from RNAcentral. Lineage: Eukaryota; Viridiplantae; Streptophyta; Magnoliopsida; Poales; Poaceae.
AUGAAGGCUCCACACCUUCCCUUUUUAUGCGAAUUUAAUGAUAAUAAAACCUUAGCUUCUUAUGCUAAUGGUAUAUAUGAUUACUAUGAUGUGGAACAAAUAGAAGAAUUUGUUGCUUUUAUGGGUGCUUAUGAAAUUGAAUCUAUGUUUAAAGAGUUUGAAGAUUUUGAUGAUUCGGUUUAUAGACCUGAAAAUUUAGCUAUCCUUAAAUAUUGCUAUGAGAAUUAUGAAUACAAUUCUGAUAUUAAUGCACUUAUUGAGAAAGUCUCUGCUGUCCAAGAAGAGACUAAUAUUUUGCAGGAAUCUAUGGAAGAAGAAGUUGAUGAAACUGUGAGCUCAUUGGAUGAAAAAGAUGAGGAGGAGAGCGAAGAACAAAAGGAGGAAGAGCGGAUUGAUCACCCGUGCCCACCUUCUAAUGAGAGUAACUCUUCAACUCAUACAUUGUUUAAUUCCCCUUCAUGCUUACCGAAGGAUCAAUGCUAUGGUAAUUGCUAUGAUCCCGUUGAUUCUUUUGAAAUAUCCCUUUUUGAUGAUGCUUGGUAUGCUUGUGGCCAAGAUGCCAAUAUGAAUUAUGCUUAUGGAGAUGAACUUUCUAUAGUUCCAUAUGUUAAACAUGAAAUUGUUGCUAUUGCACCCAUGCAUGGUAGCCCUAUUAUCUUUUUGAAUUCUCCCGAUUACACUAUAUCGGAUAAGUUUGCCUUUAUUAAGGAUUACAUUGAUGGGUUGCGUUUUACUAUUACACAUGAUGAAUUUGACAGUUAUAAUAUGCAUGUGCUUGCUGCUCCUACUUGCAAUUAUUAUGAGAGAGGAACUAUAUCUCCACCUCUCUAUGUUUCCCACAUGAUAAAAUUGCAAGAAACUGUUUAUACUAUGCAUUGGCCUUUACUAUGUGUGCAUGAAUUGUUCUUUUAUGACAUGCCGAUGCAUAGGAAGAGAGUUAGACUUCGUUGUUGCAUGAUAUAUGCUACUUUUUGCUCACUACUAAAUUACAAAUCGUUGUUAAUUAAAAUUGGCUUUGAUAUACCUUGGGAUCCGGGUGGAUCCAUUACUUGA